Long non-coding RNA from Musa acuminata AAA Group (dessert banana), 825 nucleotides. RefSeq lists it as uncharacterized. NCBI's taxonomy places the organism in Eukaryota, Viridiplantae, Streptophyta, Magnoliopsida, Zingiberales, Musaceae. The transcript is spliced from 2 exons. The record is from RefSeq and is a predicted model, not a curated record.
AGUAUUGUUAUUGUUGUUAGGGCUUCUUUGUCUUCUGAACAAACGUUAUUCAGCUAAUAAAACAGUAAAUUUUACGUCCAAUGCCUUAAUGGAGAUUAAAAUGUUUGCCUUUUUCUCAAGGAAAUAAGCUAAUCAGUAUCACUGCCAUUACGUGCCAUGCAAAUUCCACGGCCACGUUUGCUGACUUCCGAACGCUCUCCCCUUCUUCUUCGUAUCCACGUGCAGUGCAGACCUUCGUUCAUCGGGUAAGCAAGCAUUGGAUUCUUUCGAUCUCCUCCUCCCCCUCUUUAACGCGUUGAGCGCAUCGUAUCGAUAGGUAUGUGAGCAGAGAAACGAGGAGAUCAGCCUUGGAAGGAAGAUGAGCAGCCUUCUUGCCCGUGGAUGCCGAUCCUCCACCUUGAAGUCGACGACGUCCGCUGCGCUGCCUGCUUUGGGCGACUACGGACGCGGUCGCAGGUACUGCGCGGAGAAGAAGGAUGAACCGCAAAGAGUGGUGGAGAAGGCGACGUCGACGGCCGAAGAGUUCCUGCGGCAAGCCAGGGAGAAGUCCGAAGCAGUCGGCGAGAGCGCCAGGGAAGUCGUGGAGGACGCCAAGGAAGCAGUUCUCGGCGAGUCAGAGGAGAGGAAGCAGCAGAAGGUGGAGAAGGGAAACUACGAUAAGAUCGUGAGGGACUAAUCGGGAUGUGUGAACAGUGCUUGUUCGAGGUGGCACGUCCAUCCAAAUAAAACCGCGCUGCAUCUCAUGGUUUCAUCUGAUGUUUGGGUGCCCGGAAAUAUUAUUACACUUGUUUUUAUUGAAUAUAAUGGAUAGUAUUAAAUCGGAUA